Molecule: small nuclear RNA, 108 nt
Filed under: Salvator merianae (Argentine black and white tegu)
Lineage: Eukaryota; Metazoa; Chordata; Lepidosauria; Squamata; Teiidae
Source: RNAcentral
GUGCUCACUUUGGCAGCACAUAUAUUAAAAUUGGAAUGAAACAGAGAAGAUUAGCAUGCCCCCCUGCUCAAGGAUGACACGCAAAUUUGUGAAGCAUUUCAUAUUUUU